GCCGGGGUGGCAGAGCGGACUAAUCCAACGGUGAAUUUACAGCCGCGGAGUCUAUACGCGGCAGGCUCGAGACCUGUUUCUCCUAACGGAGUGCUUGGGUUCAAAUCCCAACCCCGGCG
This 119-nucleotide transfer RNA is filed under the name Methanococcoides vulcani. RNAcentral describes it as "tRNA_Pseudo_???". The record is from RNAcentral. Lineage: Archaea; Methanobacteriati; Methanobacteriota; Methanomicrobia; Methanosarcinales; Methanosarcinaceae. RNAcentral also lists the same sequence under 1 other name.